GUGCCAGCAGCCGCGGUAAUACGGGGGGGGCAAGCGUUGUUCGGAAUUACUGGGCGUAAAGGGCUCGUAGGCGGCCAACUAAGUCGGACGUGAAAUCCCCAGGCUUAACUUGGGAACUGCGUCCGAUACUGGAUGGCUUGAAUCCGGGAGAGGGAUGCGGAAUUCCAGGUGUAGCGGUGAAAUGCGUAGAUAUCUGGAGGAACACCGGUGGCGAAGGCGGCAUCCUGGACCGGUAUUGACGCUGAGUGAGCGAAAGCCAGGGGAGCAAACGGGAUUAGAUACCCCGGUAGUCC
Molecule: ribosomal RNA, 293 nt
Filed under: uncultured bacterium
Lineage: Bacteria
Description: partial 16S ribosomal RNA
Rfam family: Bacterial small subunit ribosomal RNA
Source: RNAcentral